AGCAGCCGCGGUAAUUCCAGCUCCAAUAGCGUAUAUUAAAGUUGUUGCAGUUAAAAAGCUCGUAGUUGAAUUUCGGGAUCAAGGAAUCGGUCAUGCCUUGGUAUGUACUGGUUUUAUUGGUUCUCACCUUCUAAAGAACCAUAAUGUCAUCUAUUUGAUGUUAUGGGGAAUUAGGACUGUUACCUUGAAAAAUUAGAGUGUUUAAAGCAAGCUUACGCUUGAAUACAUUAGCAUGGAAUAAUGAAAUAGGACGUUCGAACCUAUUUUGUUGGUUUCUAGGAUCAACGUAAUGAUUAAUAGGGAUAGUUGGGGGCAUUAGUGUUCAAUUGUCAGAGGUGAAAUUCUUGGAUUUAUUGAAGACUAACUACUGCGAAAGCAUUUGCCAAGGAUGUUUUCAUUAAUCAAGAACGAAAGUUAGGGGAUCGAAGACGAUCAGAUACCGUCGUAGUC
This 450-nucleotide ribosomal RNA is filed under the name uncultured Glomus. RNAcentral describes it as "SSU rRNA". It matches the Rfam family "Eukaryotic small subunit ribosomal RNA", at positions 569 to 1025 of the family's 1831-position model. Lineage: Eukaryota; Fungi; Glomeromycota; Glomeromycetes; Glomerales; Glomeraceae. The record is from RNAcentral.